This is a long non-coding RNA of Canis lupus familiaris (dog), 1539 nucleotides long. RefSeq lists it as uncharacterized. The record is from RefSeq and is a predicted model, not a curated record. The transcript has 3 exons. Lineage: Eukaryota; Metazoa; Chordata; Mammalia; Carnivora; Canidae.
CCCAUCCCCACAGGAGGCACCUCGCAGCAGGGCCUUUCCCAGAUGGACCUUUCUCGGUUGACUCCCGCUCUCUCCUUCUUGCCUGGGGUUUUGGAGCCGCUCUACUAACUGCAGCCGGGUUGGCUACGGAUUCGGAAAGCGCUGGGUCUGCAGCAGCCCCCGCCUGGGUCUUGGACCUGUCACCCAGCCAGGGCGCAGACCGCUCGGUGGGGACGGAAAGUUAACGCGCCUCGUUACGGCUGAUGCAGAGAGUCCCUCUGACAGACACAUGGGGUAAUGGCUUGGGAUGAACACACGCCGACGGAUAAUUGGAAAAGAGACUUCUCAUUGUUCUUCGGGCCCAUGAUUCAUUUGCUGUAGAAGUGAUCUCGUUGGCUGUCCUACACAUUUCCUCUCUGAACCAUGUUUUUCUUGGAUUGACUUAAAUAUACAAGGAACAAAGCACUUUCUGAAAGAAGCAACCCAAUGCCAACAUGUUGGACCUGAGAAAUCAAGAUGUCUCUGUAGGCAAGGCUUGAAGGGGUGUGUUUCUCUAUUCCCUGACAGUUGUACAUGCACCUGCUCGGCCAUAAAGCACUCAACUCUGUCUUUUCCAUAAUUUUUGUGUGGCAAAGAAGUGUGAGGCUGAGUGGUGCAGGAAAACCGUCAGCAGCCACCUUGGGGAACAGAUGCACUUGUUCCUAGCCCUGCAGAGUGGGCUCUGGAGGAAGACUCCCACCCAGGGGAUUGGCUCACAACUAGGUCAGCCUGGUCGAUUUAGUUCUUUUUCCUUCCAGGUGCUUCGUUCCAAGCCUUAAACCCCAAACCUGGGCGGCACUGCUUCCUUCCUUAGAAAUUACAUGGCAAGACAUUACGUUUCUUUCGACAAUUCUUGAUCUUAAGCUCCAGAUCCACCUCAGAUUCUCUCAACCAGCUGACCAGAUUCAAGGUGGCCAAAAGAAGAGGUGAACUAUGGUCAUGGUUGUGAUCGUCUCGCUACUCACAAUGGGGAAGCUGUACACGUGGAUUGUAAAGUAUGUGCAUAGAUGGAGGUGAUCCAAGAGAGAGUUGGGAGUUUCUACCUGUUGAGGUCUGAAUGCUUGUGUCCCUCUCACUUUCACAGGUUGGAAUUGCAACCCCCAAGGUGAUGGCAUAGGAAGUGGGGCCUGUGGGAGGUGUUAGGUCACCAGGGCAGACCCCUUAUGACUGGGAUUCAUGCCCUUAUAAGAAGAGGCCCCAGAGAGCUAGCUUGUCUUUUUUGCCCAGUGAUGGUUGUCAGUGCAAAAGGCUGCCCUCCCCAGACCUGCAAUCUGCACGUGUCUUGAUCUUGAGCUCUUCAGACUUCAGACUGUGAGAAAUAAAUUUCUGUUGUUUAUAAACCACCCAGUUGAUGGUGUUUUUGUGGUAGAAGCUCACACAGACUAAAACAUAGGGAGAGACUGUCCUUUUUCCAGUGGAUAGUCUUUCCUGCUUUGUCAAAUAUUAGUUGACCAUAGAGUUAAUGGAAAAUUGGACAGCCACAUGCAGAAGAAUGAUACUAGACCAUUCUUUUACACCAGA